This 73-nucleotide transfer RNA is filed under the name Agrilus planipennis (emerald ash borer). It matches the Rfam family "tRNA". Rfam says of the family: Transfer RNA (tRNA) molecules are approximately 80 nucleotides in length. Their secondary structure includes four short double-helical elements and three loops (D, anti-codon, and T loops). Further hydrogen bonds mediate the characteristic L-shaped molecular structure. tRNAs have two regions of fundamental functional importance: the anti-codon, which is responsible for specific mRNA codon recognition, and the 3' end, to which the tRNAs corresponding amino acid is attached (by aminoacyl-tRNA synthetases). tRNAs cope with the degeneracy of the genetic code in two manners: having more than one tRNA (with a specific anti-codon) for a particular amino acid; and 'wobble' base-pairing, i.e. permitting non-standard base-pairing at the 3rd anti-codon position. The record is from Rfam by way of RNAcentral. Lineage: Eukaryota; Metazoa; Arthropoda; Insecta; Coleoptera; Buprestidae.
CCUCUCGUAGCUCAGUUGUCAGAGCAUUAGUGCAUAAAUCCAAAGGCCCUGGGUUCGAUUCCCAGCGAAGGUA